AUGAACGCUGACAGAAUGCUUAACACAUGCAAGUCAACUUGAACUUCGGUUUGGGUGGCGGACGGGUGAGUAACGCGUAAAGAACUUGCCUCACAGCUAGGGACAACAUUUGGAAACGAAUGCUAAUACCUGAUAUUAUGAUUUUAGGGCAUCCUAGAAUUAUGAAAGCUAUAUGCGCUGUGAGAGAGCUUUGCGUCCCAUUAGCUAGUUGGAGAGGUAACGGCUCACCAAGGCGAUGAUGGGUAGCCGGCCUGAGAGGGUGAACGGCCACAAGGGGACUGAGACACGGCCCUUACUCCUACGGGAGGCAGCAGUGGGGAAUAUUGGACAAUGGGCCAAGAGUCUGAUCCAGCAAUUCUGUGUGCACGAUCAAGUUUUUCGGAAUGUAAAGUGCUUUCAGUUGGGAAGAAAAAAAUGACGGUACCAACAGAAGAAGUGACGGCUAAAUACGUG
Molecule: ribosomal RNA, 453 nt
Filed under: uncultured bacterium
Lineage: Bacteria
Description: partial 16S ribosomal RNA
Rfam family: Bacterial small subunit ribosomal RNA
Source: RNAcentral